This 228-nucleotide ribosomal RNA is filed under the name uncultured bacterium. Its description in RNAcentral is "partial 16S ribosomal RNA". It matches the Rfam family "Bacterial small subunit ribosomal RNA", at positions 524 to 751 of the family's 1533-position model. The record is from RNAcentral.
UACGAAGGGGGCUAGCGUUGUUCGGAAUUACUGGGCGUAAAGCGCACGUAGGCGGAUAUUUAAGUCAGGGGUGAAAUCCCAGAGCUCAACUCUGGAACUGCCUUUGAUACUGGGUAUCUUGAGUAUGGAAGAGGUAAGUGGAAUUGCGAGUGUAGAGGUGAAUGACGCAGAUAUCAGGAAGAACACCCGUGGCUAAGGCGGCUCUCUAGUACGGUACUGACGCUGAGA